GACGAACGCUGGCGGUGUGCUUAACACAUGCAAGUCGAACGGUAAGGCCCUUUCGGGGGUACACGAGUGGCGAACGGGUGAGUAACACGUGAGUAACCUGCCCUCAUCUCUGGGGUAACAGUCGGAAACGGUUGCUAAUACUGGAUAUGAGCUUGCAAGGCAUCUUGUGGGUUGGAAAGAUUUUUUUUGGUUGGGGAUGGACUCGCGGCCUAUCAGCUUGUUGGUGAGGUAGUGGCUCACCAAGGCUUCGACGGGUAGCCGGCCUGAGAGGGCGACCGGCCACAUUGGGACUGAGAUACGGCCCAAACUCCUACGGGAGGCAGCAGUGGGGAAUAUUGCACAAUGGACGGAAGUCUGAUGCAGCAACGCCGCGUGCGGGAUGACGGCCUUCGGGUUGUAAACCGCUUUCAAUUGUGACGAAGCUUUUUUGUGACGGUAGCAGUAGAAGAAGCACCGGCUAACUACGUG
This 468-nucleotide ribosomal RNA is filed under the name uncultured bacterium. Its description in RNAcentral is "partial 16S ribosomal RNA". It matches the Rfam family "Bacterial small subunit ribosomal RNA", at positions 28 to 507 of the family's 1533-position model. The record is from RNAcentral.